CUAUCUGCAGUCGAGCGAUGGAUUAAGAGCUUGCUCUUAUGAAGUUAGCGGCGGACGGGUGAGUAACACGUGGGUAACCUGCCCAUAAGACUGGGAUAACUCCGGGAAACCGGGGCUAAUACCGGAUAACAUUUUGAACCGCAUGGUUCGAAAUUGAAAGGCGGCUUCGGCUGUCACUUAUGGAUGGACCCGCGUCGCAUUAGCUAGUUGGUGAGGUAACGGCUCACCAAGGCAACGAUGCGUAGCCGACCUGAGAGGGUGAUCGGCCACACUGGGACUGAGACACGGCCCAGACUCCUACGGGAGGCAGCAGUAGGGAAUCUUCCGCAAUGGACGAAAGUCUGACGGAGCAACGCCGCGUGAGUGAUGAAGGCUUUCGGGUCGUAAAACUCUGUUGUUAGGGAAGAACAAGUGCUAGUUGAAUAAGCUGGCACCUUGACGGUACCUAACCAGAAAGCCACGGCUAAC
This 468-nucleotide ribosomal RNA is filed under the name Bacillus cereus. RNAcentral's name for it is "bacterial SSU rRNA". It matches the Rfam family "Bacterial small subunit ribosomal RNA", at positions 51 to 501 of the family's 1533-position model. Lineage: Bacteria; Bacillati; Bacillota; Bacilli; Caryophanales; Bacillaceae. The record is from RNAcentral.